GGCCGCNGGGAUUCGAUUGAGUUUGAUCCUGGCUCAGGACGAACGCUGGCUGCGCGCCUAACACAUGCAAGUCGAACGGGACUAUCUCGGAAGAAGUUUUCGGAUGGAUUUUGGGAUAGUUUAGUGGCGGACGGGUGAGUAACACGUGAGCAACCUGCCUUCGAGAGGGGAAUAACGGCUGGAAACGGUCGCUAAUACCGCAUAAUGUACGGAUGGGACAUCCUGUCUGUACCAAAGAUUUAUCGCUCGAAGAUGGGCUCGCGUCCGAUUAGGUAGUUGGUGAGGUAACGGCCCACCAAGCCGACGAUCGGUAGCCGGACUGAGAGGGUGAACGGCCACAUUGGGACUGAGACACGGCCCAGACUCCUACGGGAGGCAGCAGUGGGGAAUAUUGCACAAUGGGGGAAACCCUGAUGCAGCGACGCCGCGUGAGUGAAGAAGUAUCUCGGUAUGUAAAGCUCUAUCAGCAGGAAAGAUAAUGACGGUACCUGACUAAGAAGCCCCGGCUAACUACGUGCCAGCAGCCGCGGUAAUACGUAGGGGGCAAGCGUUAUCCGGAUUUACUGGGUGUAAAGGGAGCGUAGACGGCAGCGCAAGUCUGGAGUGAAAUGCCG
This 614-nucleotide ribosomal RNA is filed under the name uncultured bacterium. RNAcentral describes it as "bacterial SSU rRNA". It matches the Rfam family "Bacterial small subunit ribosomal RNA", at positions 1 to 604 of the family's 1533-position model. The record is from RNAcentral.